Molecule: long non-coding RNA, 584 nt
Organism: Aethalodelphis obliquidens (Pacific white-sided dolphin)
Lineage: Eukaryota; Metazoa; Chordata; Mammalia; Artiodactyla; Delphinidae
Exons: 3
Source: RefSeq, a predicted model, not a curated record
AGAAAUAGAAACAGAAUCUCCCUGACCCCUGCAGCUGUGUAGGAGGUGGGCUCUGAAUUGUGAGGUGAGAUCGGUACCCUGCAUUUUUGGGCCAUUUGGGAUGCGAAUUUUCAAAGCUGGGAAAUGUUAUUCUGCAGGCUUCAGAAGAGAAGCAGGACCUGAAAGCUAGGAGUCAGUGCCUGAAAUGUUCCCAUGGAGUGUGAACAGACCAUCAAAUCCAAAUCCCCGAUUUUACAGAUGAGACAACUGGGUCACAGCAAGAAGUCUCUGGCUGGAGGGCUAGUGGUUACAAUGUCUCAUCCAGCACUUGCUUCUCACUGCAGGUUGGGGAAUAUCGGUGAAAGGCCAGGGAACUUGCAAGCAGCCAUCCUCUCAUUCCAAGAUAGAGAAUUAAAAUGUGCCUGGAGGAGGUUGGGACCCAACCCAGAGCACUGGCUCCCUGGGCCUGAAGGAAGCCAUGCCGUGGAGGACUGCAGCUUAUUCUUAUUGUUCUAGAUGGGUUCUAAGAGUCCACAGCUUUUCAGAGUAAAGCAAGAUAAACACAUAAGUGACACCUAGAGGACAGAAAGUUAAAAACCAUCCAG